Molecule: ribosomal RNA, 1104 nt
Filed under: uncultured organism
Description: bacterial SSU rRNA
Rfam family: Bacterial small subunit ribosomal RNA
Source: RNAcentral
CAGACUCCUACGGGAGGCAGCAGUGGGGAAUUUUCCGCAAUGGGCGAAAGCCUGACGGAGCAAGACCGCGUGAGGGAGGAAGGCUCUUGGGUUGUAAACCUCUUUUCUCAGGGAAGAAGCUCUGACGGUACCUGAGGAAUCAGCCUCGGCUAACUCCGUGCCAGCAGCCGCGGUAAUACGGAGGAGGCAAGCGUUAUCCGGAAUUAUUGGGCGUAAAGCGUCCGCAGGUGGCGAUUCAAGUCUGCUGUCAAAGCACGGGGCUUAACUCCGUUAAGGCAGUGGAAACUGAAUAGCUAGAGUGCCGUAGGGGUAGAGGGAAUUCCCGGUGUAGCGGUGAAAUGCGUAGAGAUCGGGAAGAACAUCGGUGGCGAAAGCGCUCUACUGGACGGCAACUGACACUCAGGGACGAAAGCUAGGGGAGCGAAUGGGAUUAGAUACCCCAGUAGUCCUAGCUGUAAACGAUGGAUACUAGGUGUAGCUUGUAUCGACCCGAGCUGUGCCGAAGCUAACGCGUUAAGUAUCCCGCCUGGGGAGUACGCACGCAAGUGUGAAACUCAAAGGAGUUGACGGGGGCCCGCACAAGCGGUGGAGUAUGUGGUUUAAUUCGAUGCAACGCGAAGAACCUUACCAGGGCUUGACAUGUCCGGAAUCCCGGUGAAAGCUGGGAGUGCCUUCGGGAGCCGGAACACAGGUGGUGCAUGGCUGUCGUCAGCUCGUGUCGUGAGAUGUUGGGUUAAGUCCCGCAACGAGCGCAACCCUCGUCUUUAGUUGCCAGCAUUAAGUUGGGCACUCUAGAGAGACUGCCGGUGACAAACCGGAGGAAGGUGGGGAUGACGUCAAGUCAGCAUGCCCCUUACGCUCUGGGCGACACACGUACUACAAUGGUCGGGACAGAGGGCAGCGAACCUGCGAAGGCAAGCUAAUCCCAGCAAACUCGGCCUCAGUUCAGAUCGCAGGCUGCAACUCGCCUGCGUGAAGGAGGAAUCGCUAGUAAUCGCCGGUCAGAAUACGGCGGUGAAUCCGUUCCCGGGCCUUGUACACACCGCCCGUCACACCAUGGAAGCUGGCCACGCCCGAAGUCGUUACCCUAACCUUUCGGGGAAG